GAGGAAAAUCCGUCGAUUUAAAAAAUCGUGAGGGUUCAAGUCCCU
Molecule: transfer RNA, 45 nt
Filed under: Lophiolepis eriophora
Lineage: Eukaryota; Viridiplantae; Streptophyta; Magnoliopsida; Asterales; Asteraceae
Also listed under: 1 other name
Description: Cirsium eriophorum tRNA-Leu
Source: RNAcentral